UAACAGAGCCUACCUCAAACCACACCCAGA
RNAcentral lists this non-coding RNA (30 nucleotides) under Mus musculus (house mouse). The record is from RNAcentral. Lineage: Eukaryota; Metazoa; Chordata; Mammalia; Rodentia; Muridae.